Molecule: ribosomal RNA, 492 nt
Filed under: uncultured bacterium
Lineage: Bacteria
Description: partial 16S ribosomal RNA
Rfam family: Bacterial small subunit ribosomal RNA
Source: RNAcentral
AGUGAACGCUGGCGGUAGGCCUAACACAUGCAAGUCGAACGGCAGCACAGUAAUAGCUUGCUCUUACGGGUGGCGAGUGGCGGACGGGUGAGGAAUACAUCGUAAUCUACUUUUUCGUGGGGGAUAACGUAGGGAAACUUACGCUAAUACCGCAUACGACCUACGGGUGAAAGCAGGGGAUCUUCGGACCUUGCGCGUUUGUAUUAGCCGAUGUCGGAUUAGCUAGUUGGCGGGGUAAAGGCCCACCAAGGCGACGAUCCGUAGCUGGUCUGCGAGGAUGAUCAGCCACACUGGAACGGAGACACGGUCCAGACUCCUACGGGAGGCAGCAGUGGGGAAUAUUGGACAAUGGGAGAAAGCCUGAUCCAGCAAUACCGCGUGGGUGAAGAAGGACUUCGGGUUGUAAAGCCCUUUUGUUGGGAAAGAAAAGCAGCAGGUUAAUAACCCGCUGUUAUGACGGUACCCAAAGAAUAAGCACCGGCUAACUUCGUG